GAUGAACGCUAGCGGCAGGCCUAACACAUGCAAGUCGAGGGGUAGAGGUUGCUUGCAACCUUGAGACCGGCGCACGGGUGCGUAACGCGUAUGCAAUCUGCCUUGUACUGAGGGAUAGCCCAGAGAAAUUUGGAUAAUACCUCAUAGUAUCUUUUCCCGGCAUCGGGAGAUUAUUAAAGUUCCAACGGUACAAGAUGAGCAUGCGUCCCAUUAGCUAGUUGGUAUGGUAACGGCAUACCAAGGCAAUGAUGGGGAGGGGUCCUGAGAGGGAGAUACCCCACACGGGUACUGAGACACGGACCAGACUCCUACGGGAGGCAGCAGUGAGGAAUAUUGGUCAAUGGGCGCAAGCCUGAACCAGCCAUGCCGCGUGCAGGAUGAAGCAUCUAUGGUGUGUAAACUGCUUGUAUACGGGAAGAAACACCGGUUCGUGAACCGGCUUGACGGUACCGUAAGAAUAAGGAUCGGCUAACUCCGUGCCAGCCGCCGCGGUAA
This 495-nucleotide ribosomal RNA is filed under the name uncultured bacterium. RNAcentral describes it as "partial 16S ribosomal RNA". It matches the Rfam family "Bacterial small subunit ribosomal RNA", at positions 28 to 523 of the family's 1533-position model. The record is from RNAcentral.